RNAcentral lists this ribosomal RNA (902 nucleotides) under uncultured bacterium. RNAcentral's name for it is "bacterial SSU rRNA". It matches the Rfam family "Bacterial small subunit ribosomal RNA", at positions 8 to 916 of the family's 1533-position model. The record is from RNAcentral.
AGAGUUUGAUCCUGGCUCAGGAUGAACGCUAGCGACAGGCCUAACACAUGCAAGUCGAGGGAGAAGGUAGCAAUACCUGAAACCGGCGCACGGGUGCGUAACGCGUAUGCAACCUACCUUUUACUGGGGGAUAGCUUUCGGAAACGGAAAUUAAUACCCCAUAACACUGCGAGAUCACCUGAUUUUGCAUUUAAAGCUCCGGCGGUAAAAGAUGGGCAUGCGUGACAUUAGCUAGUUGGUAGGGUAACGGCCUACCAAGGCAACGAUGUCUAGGGGUUCUGAGAGGAAGGUCCCCCACACUGGUACUGAGACACGGACCAGACUCCUACGGGAGGCAGCAGUGAGGAAUAUUGGUCAAUGGGCGCAAGCCUGAACCAGCCAUGUCGCGUGCAGGACGACUGCCCUAUGGGUUGUAAACUGCUUUUGUAUGGGAAGAAAUAGUGGUACGUGUACCACUUUGCCGGUACCAUACGAAUAAGGAUCGGCUAACUCCGUGCCAGCAGCCGCGGUAAUACGGAGGAUCCAAGCGUUAUCCGGAUUUAUUGGGUUUAAAGGGUGCGUAGGCGGUUUAAUAAGUCAGUGGUGAAAUCUUGCAGCUUAACUGUAAAAUUGCCAUUGAUACUGCUAGACUUGAGUAUAGUUGAGGUGGGCGGAAUGUGUUGUGUAGCGGUGAAAUGCAUAGAUAUAACACAGAACACCAAUUGCGAAGGCAGCUCACUAAGCUAUAACUGACGCUGAGGCACGAAAGCGUGGGUAGCGAACAGGAUUAGAUACCCUGGUAGUCCACGCCGUAAACGAUGAUUACUCGUUGCAGGCGAUAUACAGUCUGUGACCAAGCGAAAGCAUUAAGUAAUCCACCUGGGGAGUACGUUGGCAACGAUGAAACUCAAAGGAAUUGACGG